This 482-nucleotide unclassified non-coding RNA is filed under the name Hevea brasiliensis (rubber tree). Lineage: Eukaryota; Viridiplantae; Streptophyta; Magnoliopsida; Malpighiales; Euphorbiaceae. The record is from RNAcentral.
AGCUGAUGUGGGUAAACAUGAAGAGGAGGCGGCUAACUUGAGAGGCAGCGUGAUAGGGAGUGGGGAAGGGUGGUGGGUGACGGUGAAGAGGUGGGUGGAGGAGCGGUUCCGGUGGGUUAAGGGUAAGCUGAAGCCGUGGGCAGAGUUGCUGUAUCUGGACGUGGCUAUGCGCCUGACGUUAAUGAGGCUGGGGUGGGCGGUGGUGGACUCUAUGGUCGAGUCCAAGUAUGUUUUUGGUCGCUACAGAGUUCUCCUCAAGUUCUACAGAAUUCUGAUUAAUGAGCUCAGAUGCCGUUGGUAGGAGUUCCAGGCUGCUGGCGCAAAGUUGUGUGAUAUGUCUUUGCAGAUGGCGUGCUGGUACCUUUCUAGGAUCCGUAAGCAUGUAUUUGUUUUGUUUUGCUGUAAGUGUUGGGUAGCUCCAAGACUCCCCACUGUUUCAUUUUCUAAUUUAGUGAUGUUAGGGCUCAUCAGCUGAUCGCCCG